GGGGAUAAGCGGAAGAAAUUCCGUCUAAUACCGCGUAACAACGUUGGGAGGCAUCUCCCGAUGUUUAAAGAUUUAUCGGCUGCGGAUGGCCAUGCGGCGCAUUAGCUAGUCGGCGGGGUAACGGCCCACCGAGGCGACGAUGCGUAGGGGUUCUGAGAGGAAGGUCCCCCACACUGGUACUGAGACACGGACCAGACUCCUACGGGAGGCAGCAGUGAGGAAUAUUGGUCAAUGGCCGAGAGGCUGAACCAGCCAAGUCGCGUGAGGGAUGACGGCCCUACGGGUUGUAAACCUCUUUUGUCGGGGAGCAAAGGGAGUCACGUGUGACUCAUUGAGAGUACCCGAAGAAAAAGCAUCGGCUAACUCCGUGCCAGCAGCCGCGGUAACACGGAGGAUGCGAGCGUUAUCCGGAUUUAUUGGGUUUAAAGGGUGCGCAGGCGGAGGUGCAAGUCAGCGGUCAAAUUGCGGGGCUCAACCCCGUACUGCCGUUGAAACUGCAUCCCUUGAGUGCGCGAGAAGUAUGCGGAAUGCGUGGUGUAGCGGUGAAAUGCAUAGAUAUCACGCAGAACUCCGAUUGCGAAGGCAGCAUACCGGCGCGCAACUGACGCUCAUGCACGAAAGCGUGGGUAUCGAACAGGAUUAGAUACCCUGGUAGUCCACGCAGUAAACG
This 670-nucleotide ribosomal RNA is filed under the name uncultured bacterium. Its description in RNAcentral is "bacterial SSU rRNA". It matches the Rfam family "Bacterial small subunit ribosomal RNA", at positions 139 to 808 of the family's 1533-position model. The record is from RNAcentral.